RNAcentral lists this ribosomal RNA (436 nucleotides) under Ectemnostegella quechua. RNAcentral's name for it is "partial large subunit ribosomal RNA". It matches the Rfam family "Archaeal large subunit ribosomal RNA", at positions 1911 to 2592 of the family's 2987-position model. The record is from RNAcentral. Lineage: Eukaryota; Metazoa; Arthropoda; Insecta; Hemiptera; Corixidae.
GUCCUUUUGAAUUUUAUUUAAGGUCUGACCUGCCCACUGAUUUAUUUAAUGGCCGCGGUAUUUUGACCGUGCAAAGGUAGCAUAAUAAUUUGUCUUUUAAUUGAAGGCUUGUAUGAAUGGUUGGACGAGAAAAUUACUUUCUUUAUAAUAAAAUGAUUAAUUUUAUUUUUCAGUUAAAAGGCUGAAAUAUUGUUGUAGGACGAGAAGACCCUAUAGAACUUUAUAUUUAUUUUUUAUAUUAAUAUUUUUUGAUAAUAAUAUGUUGUAUAUUUAUAUAUAUUUUGUUGGGGCGACAAGAAAAUUUAUUUAACUUUUUUUUAUUAAUUUCAUUAAUUAAUGUAUAAAUGAUCCUUUACUAAGGAUAAUUAGAAUAAGUUACCUUAGGGAUAACAGCGUAAUUUUUUUGGAGAGUUCUUAUCGAUAAAAAAGUUUGCGA